This 253-nucleotide ribosomal RNA is filed under the name uncultured bacterium. RNAcentral describes it as "partial 16S ribosomal RNA". It matches the Rfam family "Bacterial small subunit ribosomal RNA", at positions 524 to 776 of the family's 1533-position model. The record is from RNAcentral.
UACGUAGGGUGCGAGCGUUAAUCGGAAUUACUGGGCGUAAAGUGUGCGCAGGCGGCGCCGCAAGUCGAGUGUGAAAGCCCCGAGCUCAACUUGGGAAUUGCAGUGGAUACUGGCAGGCUGGAGUACGGUAGAGGAAGGUGGAAUUCCCGGUGUAGCAGUGAAAUGCGUAGAUAUCGGGAGGAACACCAGUGGCGAAGGCGGCCUUCUGGACCAGUACUGACGCUCAUGCACGAAAGCGUGGGGAGCAAACAGA